UGGGGAAUUUUGGACAAUGGGCGAAAGCCUGAUCCAGCAAUGCCGCGUGUGUGAAGAAGGCCUUCGGGUUGUAAAGCACUUUUGUCCGGAAAGAAAUCCUUGGCUCUAAUACAGUCGGGGGAUGACGGUACCGGAAGAAUAAGCACCGGCUAACUACGUGCCAGCAGCCGCGGUAAUACGUAGGGUGCAAGCGUUAAUCGGAAUUACUGGGCGUAAAGCGUGCGCAGGCGGUUUGCUAAGACCGAUGUGAAAUCCCCGGGCUCAACCUGGGAACUGCAUUGGUGACUGGCAGGCUAGAGUAUGGCAGAGGGGGGUAGAAUUCCACGUGUAGCAGUGAAAUGCGUAGAGAUGUGGAGGAAUACCGAUGGCGAAGGCAGCCCCCUGGGCCAAUACUGACGCUCAUGCACGAAAGCGUGGGGAGCAAAACAGGAUUAGAUACCCUGGUAGUCCACGCCCUAAACGAUGUCAACUAGUUGUUGGGGAUUCAUUUCCUUAGUAACGUAGCUAACGCGUGAAGUUGACCGCCUGGGGAGUACGGUCGCAAGAUUAAAACUUAAAUGAAUUG
This 565-nucleotide ribosomal RNA is filed under the name uncultured bacterium. RNAcentral describes it as "partial 16S ribosomal RNA". It matches the Rfam family "Bacterial small subunit ribosomal RNA", at positions 355 to 912 of the family's 1533-position model. The record is from RNAcentral.